Long non-coding RNA from Panicum virgatum (switchgrass), 3561 nucleotides. RefSeq lists it as uncharacterized. The transcript has 6 exons. The record is from RefSeq and is a predicted model, not a curated record. NCBI's taxonomy places the organism in Eukaryota, Viridiplantae, Streptophyta, Magnoliopsida, Poales, Poaceae.
UCCUCUCCCCCUCUGCGCGACUCCGGCCGAUCCCUCCGCCUCCCUUUCUUUCCCCUACCUCCAGCGGGGGCUCCGCCCAAACCCGCCGCCCCCUUCGCGUCGCCCUGCACCAGCGAUGCGCGGUCCCGGGCGCCAUGGCCUCCCCAGCACGGGCGGCACCGGGUACCACGGCGGCACCACCGCCCCAGUACGGCCGAUGCCGGCCGCCCCGGCGGUGCGGCCGCGUUAGCACGAGCAGCCCCGUGGGCCUUGCGGGAGCCCUUGCAAGGGCGCCGCCAGGCCAGGCAGUCGCCGUAGCACGGGCGCCCCCCUGCGCGUCGGCCUCAACGACCGGCCCUGCCUGGUCGUGUCUUCCUCUUCCCCGGCUGCUGCUCCGCUCGGCAGGUGGCCUUUGCCAAGGCGCGUCACCUCAGCGACCGGAUCUGGUGAGACCUCACCCUCUUCUUCUCCUCUAUUCCAUAGCUGCUCCCCCAGGUCCUCCAUCCCUCCGCGUUCGCCUUCGUGCAGGUGAGUGGCCGCUGCGGCAGCAUGUGCUACCUCCCCUCUACACGCCGGUUGCAUCCACCGCCUCCGUGGCUGCCGUUUUCGUCGUUGGUCUUCCUCUUCACCUCCGCCAACCCCCGUGCUUUACGUUUUCAAUCCCCCUACGAACGCAAGUUAGGCUUAGCGGUACCGAGGGAGGUCUAGCAGUUCCACCUCCACCAUGGAUUCUUUGAUCAGGACUAAUAUUUUUCAGCACACGGCUAAAUAGAGUUAAGGCUUCAAGAGUCUUCUCUCCUUUCUUGAUUGCUGUCCACAUCUUCUUUGCCUUCCAUUCCAUAAGACAUGGAGUACUAUCACUUUCAUAGUGUUUUUUAUUUUUUAUUUUGGCAGAACCUGUGUUCCAAUCACCCACGAACUGCACUUCGCAGGUCAGGUAGCACAGAAAAAACAGAGAGGCAGCAUAGGACCAGAAGAGAAUUGAAAACUGAAGCCCAUGUUGAGAUCAUUGCCAUAAUUGGGUGGCACUCCAUGUAGCAGACUAUCAACCUUGGAGCAAAACAUUAUGCCUGAACACCACAUAGUAACAGGCUUAUUUUGUUUUUGGUUCCAGGAGAGGCACUGCAGGUGAGAUCAAUAUGGUGGAUCUGUUGAUUAUGUCAGCUGUAUUCUUCUCUAUUCUUUUUGAAUGGUUGGAUUGUGGAUGUGUUGUUGCAAAUGCAUGUAUUUUAUUGGUGCCCUUUGUGUUGUUUCCUCCUGUUGAGAUUCGAUAAGCACUUCCUUGGCUAAAUCAUCUUGCUCUCCCCCCACUGUGGUUGGACUGACAACCUUUUUAGGAAUUAGAGAAACAUGGACCUUUGGUGUAUAGGUUCCUGCUAAUAUUGAGAGGAGAGAUCCAAAUGUUUCUUCAUCUACCUUUGUUGCUUGGAAUGUUUGGCAUCAUCAUAUAUUUGUAAAUUAGCUUUCGACGCAUAUCCAGUUUCUUAGAUCUUAAAACAUUUCAUAUCAGGUAGCUUAUUUCAUUGGGUGAAUAGGGGAAGAAACAGCUGCUCUAAUGGUCUACAUUUCUAUGUGCAUGUCCUGAUUAGAGGCCUGCACAAAGUUUCUCAUGAACUGUGAUUCAUUGCAAUUUCUAUGAGACCUACCUAUCUCCAUAUUUCUGCCCACCUUUUGGUUCUUAGGUUCAAUUGUUUCAUGCUAUCUUUCGGACUUCCUGCCCUGUGCGAAGCACGGGGGUACCCGCUAGUUAUCUAUAUCAUGCUCUCUUCACGACUGAGGUAAAGUGGAAUGAAACCUUUACCAUAAACUUCUUCUAGAUUAUCUAUAUCAUCUGUUUUACAUUUUAAUCUACUACACAAAGUAAGUGGCUUAGAGUCUUGUUUAACUAGAUGGAUAUUUUGUCUCUUCUGAUGAGGCUUUUAGAUAUUUCCAUUUUUUUUAAAUUUAUUGUUUUACUAGAUGCAACUAUCCCUGAUGAAUCUAAUAUAAUUUCUUUAUUACUUUGAUUUAUGUCAUGUUUUUCAAGAACUUUUACUAGCAAUUGGAUAAUUGUAUUAUUUUGUCUUAUUGUAACACUAGAGUCUUCUUUAGGUGUAUCGUAGUUAGAAAAACCUACGGGUGGAGAAAGAUGAUUUGCAGCCUCUUUUAAAGCUUGGCUAUAUUCAGUCAUAUAAUUAAGAGAGAACAAGAGUUUUUGCUUCUUCUACUAAUUUCUUAGUCUCAAGCACAACUUGAGUUACAUAUGAUCUUCUUGAUUUAAUACUAAGUUAUUCUUUUGCGGAAGAAAAUCUAAAUCUUUUUAAAUAAAAAUGUUUCUUUUUUGAUAUAAUCACUAUUUUUAGAUAUCUUAUUUUGAUGCAAUUUUAUUUGUUUCUAGAGAUUGCAGACUUAAAUUAAUUUUAUUAUCUAAUUCUGAGAUUUUAUUAUUAGUUCUUUGGUAUUCUUUAUUUAAAGUUUCAAACUUCUGAUCUAAUUCGUCUUGUCUCUUUCCCCAACUUAUGUAAGAAUUAUUUAUUAGAUCAACAAUUAAAUUUAACUGAUUAUGCGACGUAUGCCAAGUAGGUCUGUAGUAUUUACUCUACACCUUAUAUUAAUAUGGUCACUUGUAUCAACAAUGUUCCUUGUAUUCACUUCAAGAUUAGGAUAUUUUAAUCUUUCAAUAUUGAACCGGCUCCGACACCAGAUAGAUAUAAAAUAAACACUGAUAUAUAUAAUCUGAUUGAGAUGUUUGGCUUAUAUGCUUAAGAGUAUUCAGAUUUAAAUAUGCGGCCUGAUAAAAUAUGCGGCUCUCUUUUAUAUGCGUAGGAUUAUUUUUUUGUGAAUUUUGAAGAUUUUGUUUUAUAUGCUCAGAAGUUUAUUGGUUUUAUAUUCGCAGAAUCGUACCAGGUUGGCGAGACCAACAUUACAGCCAGUGUGCUUUAAUUUGGUAGUUCCACCCGAAGGGAAUACUUCUCUACGCCUACGUCGUUCUUUCAACUGCCACACUCGGCUUCAAACGAGAACUACCGUAAAGGUUUCUCCUAUAGGAUCCUUAGCACAGAGACUUAAAGCGCACAACCAGACCAGCAGAUACAAGAAAAUUAAAGGAGAACUACUUUAUUAAACAAACAAGUUUACAUAUGGUUUUUCCUUUCGAAAAACCCCCAAACUUCUAAAACAAAGAAGGGAUUUACAAUGGACUUGGUGCUAUUUUAUAGGGAUGGUACAGAGAAUUUUAUUGGGUUCAGGUGGUCUCGCAGAGACUUUGCUCUUGGAGGCUCUGGCUUCUCCUACUGAUGCCUCCGUCCUGGGAAGCACGAACUCCUUAUAUAGUGCUGCGAACAGCGCUGAGGCCUUCGCUGCUUCUUAUCCAGAUUAUCAAGUCUAUUUUCGCAUGGCGCAGACUUCAUUGGUAUGGCGAUAACUUGCAUGGCGUUGGCUUGCACGGCGCUUUAACUUAUAUGGCACAUGUCUUUGCUUCUUCUUGCAUGGUGCUUGUACGGUGCAUCAUCUUUGCUUCUUUAGUUUUCUGGAACAAGUUCCCAUGUAGAAUCUUCCAAAUAAUUGAGUGUAGGCAUAUCCAUGCAAUGCUUCUGCGGUGCU